UGGCUCAGUUGGUAGAGCAUGGUGUUUGCAACGCCAGGGUUGUGGGUUCUAUUCCCAU
This is a non-coding RNA of Salmo salar (Atlantic salmon), 58 nucleotides long. NCBI's taxonomy places the organism in Eukaryota, Metazoa, Chordata, Actinopteri, Salmoniformes, Salmonidae. The record is from Rfam.